Molecule: long non-coding RNA, 202 nt
Filed under: Panax ginseng (ginseng)
Lineage: Eukaryota; Viridiplantae; Streptophyta; Magnoliopsida; Apiales; Araliaceae
Description: long non-coding RNA (PGIN_LNC013683)
Source: RNAcentral
AACUCUUGCCCAACUGGGCCCAUCCUGAUGACCCUAUCGCGAAGGUGUCCAAAUUCCCCAAAGAUCGGGCUGAUGCUUUCAAAGCUUUUUACAAGAAGUGGAGCAAGACCGAAUGGAGUUUGGCUGUUUUAUCCAACGAGGCCUGGUUGUACAAACACGGGUGUAAGCGUACUAUCCCGAAGCUCUUCUGAAUACCUUUAAC